UGGGCAACCUGCCCUCAGCUCUGGGAUAACUCCGGGAAACCGGGGCUAAUACCGGAUAUGACCAUUCCUGGCAUCUGGGGUGGUGGAAAGUUCUUCGGCUGAGGAUGGGCCCGCGGCCUAUCAGCUUGUUGGUGGGGUUACGGCCCACCAAGGCGACGACGGGUAGCCGGCCUGAGAGGGCGACCGGCCACACUGGGACUGAGACACGGCCCAGACUCCUACGGGAGGCA
RNAcentral lists this ribosomal RNA (230 nucleotides) under uncultured bacterium. Its description in RNAcentral is "partial 16S ribosomal RNA". It matches the Rfam family "Bacterial small subunit ribosomal RNA", at positions 118 to 350 of the family's 1533-position model. The record is from RNAcentral.